This is a long non-coding RNA of Myiozetetes cayanensis, 326 nucleotides long. RefSeq lists it as uncharacterized. The transcript is spliced from 3 exons. Lineage: Eukaryota; Metazoa; Chordata; Aves; Passeriformes; Tyrannidae. The record is from RefSeq and is a predicted model, not a curated record.
UUUAACCAUCCGAAGAGAAAGCACCUGAUGCAGCCUGCGUGGUGCCUGACCCCUCCUCCCAGGAAGAAGUGCCCCAUUUCACUGGACCACUGUGUGCUUCAAUCAUGCAGGGAUAAAGGAACGGCAACUGCAUUUAUUUUAUUUCCCUAAGUGUAAUCUCUCUACACAGCAGAUGCGACAAUUUACUGCCAAACUUUGCCACACCACUUCGCUCCACUGGUGUCUGCUACUCGCUGGACUCUCGGCUUAUGCCGCUACAUGCCACCUUCCCUUGGAAGUGCGGUCCCAGAGCUCAAUCUUUUCACCUACCCCUUCCAUGAACAAAU